RNAcentral lists this ribosomal RNA (497 nucleotides) under uncultured bacterium. RNAcentral describes it as "partial 16S ribosomal RNA". It matches the Rfam family "Bacterial small subunit ribosomal RNA", at positions 28 to 507 of the family's 1533-position model. The record is from RNAcentral.
GAUGAACGCUGGCGGCGUGCCUAAUACAUGCAAGUCGAGCGAACAGACGAGGAGCUUGCUCCUCUGACGUUAGCGGCGGACGGGUGAGUAACACGUGGAUAACCUACCUAUAAGACUGGGAUAACUUCGGGAAACCGGAGCUAAUACCGGAUAACAUGUUGAACCGCAUGGUUCAACAGUGAAAGACGGUCUUGCUGUCACUUGUAGAUGGAUCCGCGCCGCAUUAGCUAGUUGGUAAGGUAACGGCUUACCAAGGCAACGAUGCGUAGCCGACCUGAGAGGGUGAUCGGCCACACUGGAACUGAGACACGGUCCAGACUCCUACGGGAGGCAGCAGUAGGGAAUCUUCCGCAAUGGGCGAAAGCCUGACGGAGCAACGCCGCGUGAGUGAAGAAGGUCUUCGGAUCGUAAAACUCUGUUAUUAGGGAAGAACAAAUGUGUAAGUAACUAUGCACGUCUUGACGGUACCUAAUCAGAAAGCCACGGCUAACUACGUG